GUACCCCAAACCGACACAGGUGGUCGGGUAGAGAAUACCAAGGCGCUUGAGAGAACUCGGGUGAAGGAACUAGGCAAAAUGGUACCGUAACUUCGGGAGAAGGUACGCUCUUGAUGGUGAAGUCCCUUGCGGAUGGAGCUGACGAGAGUCGCAGAUACCAGGUGGCUGCAACUGUUUAUUAAAAAACACAGCACUGUGCAAAAUCGUAAGAUGACGUAUACGGUGUGACGCCUG
RNAcentral lists this ribosomal RNA (234 nucleotides) under Vibrio parahaemolyticus. RNAcentral's name for it is "partial 23S ribosomal RNA". It matches the Rfam family "Bacterial large subunit ribosomal RNA", at positions 1644 to 1861 of the family's 2925-position model. The record is from RNAcentral. Lineage: Bacteria; Pseudomonadati; Pseudomonadota; Gammaproteobacteria; Vibrionales; Vibrionaceae.